GAUGAACGCUGGCGGCGUGCUUAAUACAUGCAAGUCGAACGGAGUGCUAGCAAUAGUACUUAGUGGCGAACGGGUGAGUAACGCGUUGGUGACCUGCCCCGAAGAGAGGGAUAACAGUUCGAAAGGACUGCUAAUACCUCAUGUUGUUGCCGGGUUUAGAAGCUGGUAACUAAAGGCGUAAGCCACUUUGGGAGGGACCUGCGUCCCAUCAGCUAGUUGGUGAGGUAACGGCUCACCAAGGCGAUGACGGGUAGGGGACCUGAGAGGGUGGCCCCCCACAAUGGUACUGAAACACGGACCAUACACCUACGGGAGGCAG
RNAcentral lists this ribosomal RNA (319 nucleotides) under uncultured Chloroflexota bacterium. RNAcentral describes it as "bacterial SSU rRNA". It matches the Rfam family "Bacterial small subunit ribosomal RNA", at positions 28 to 351 of the family's 1533-position model. Lineage: Bacteria; Bacillati; Chloroflexota. The record is from RNAcentral.